UGGUUUUGUUCCGUGUGGAGUCGUUGUUGGGUGGGAGGUAGAGGCAGAGGCAGCUGUGGUUUUUCUUGGUGGGAGGUUUUGUGCCAGGUGCAGUUCUGGAAGUGGAGCUUGAUGGCCCGGUGGAGCCGCUGAAUAAGCAGUUGCCGGAAGCUCAGCGGGGCUGCGGAGGCUUGAAGGAGUCUGUGAGGGUGAACCGCACGGGGCGGGCGGGUAGGGAGGGUAUGUUGGCCUCGUCUUGCAAAAGCGGCCUCAUUCACACCUUUUCUGUCGGAAAAGGUUUUGACUUCUGUGCUCGGGGUUACUGCCGACUCUUUUUUACUGUGGUCGGCGGUUUUUUUGAUUGGAUCUGCUUCUAGAUUGCUCCCCUGUGCCAUGCCUGCUGCAUCUGUCUUGUAGCACUGUCCUGCUCACGUCUUGUGUUCAGAACGUGUGUAGAUGAAAGGACAUGUUCACUUCUUUAGAGUGGAAGGCAGCAUGCAGGAUCCAAGGAACCAACCAUUCCAAAAUACUUUUAUCUUGAACAGCUGCAAGAAGAAUUUAACUGUUACUGAAGAAGGUAUUAGCAGUAUAAAUGCUUCCAGCUGUUGCAGUUUACAACUUUAAGUAGUUUAACUUCUCUUAUUUUGAAGUAGCUCUGUUUAUAGAGGGAUACCACAUUAAAUAUUUCAGGAAUUUA
This is a long non-coding RNA of Pezoporus flaviventris, 676 nucleotides long. RefSeq lists it as uncharacterized. The record is from RefSeq and is a predicted model, not a curated record. The transcript has 2 exons. Lineage: Eukaryota; Metazoa; Chordata; Aves; Psittaciformes; Psittacidae.